ACGAACGCUGGCGGCAUGCCUAACACAUGCAAGUCGAACGAGACCUUCGGGUCUAGUGGCGCACGGGUGCGUAACGAGUGGGAACCUGCCCUUAGGUUCGGAAUAACUCCCCGAAAGGGGUGCUAAUACCGGAUAAUGUCUUCGGACCAAAGAUUUAUCGCCUUUGGAUGGGCCCGCGUUGGAUUAGCUAGUUGGUAGGGUAAAAGCCUACCAAGGCGACGAUCCAUAGCUGGUCUGAGAGGAUGAUCAGCCACACUGGGACUGAGACACGGCCCAGACUCCUACGGGAGGCAGCAGUGGAGAAUAUUGGACAAUGGGCGAAAGCCUGAUCCAGCAAUGCCGCGUGAGUGAUGAAGGCCUUAGGGUUGUAAAGCUCUUUUACCCGAGAUGAUAAUGACAGUACCGGGAGAAUAAGCACCGGCUAACUCCGUG
Molecule: ribosomal RNA, 432 nt
Filed under: uncultured bacterium
Lineage: Bacteria
Description: partial 16S ribosomal RNA
Rfam family: Bacterial small subunit ribosomal RNA
Source: RNAcentral